GGGCGCUUAGCUCAGUUGGUAGAGCACCUGACUUUUAAUCAGGUUGUCRCAGGUUCGAUCCCUGYAGCGCCUACCA
This 76-nucleotide transfer RNA is filed under the name Rhodospirillaceae bacterium. Its description in RNAcentral is "tRNA-Lys". It matches the Rfam family "tRNA". From Rfam's summary of the family: Transfer RNA (tRNA) molecules are approximately 80 nucleotides in length. The record is from RNAcentral. Lineage: Bacteria; Pseudomonadati; Pseudomonadota; Alphaproteobacteria; Rhodospirillales; Rhodospirillaceae.